Molecule: non-coding RNA, 61 nt
Organism: Caenorhabditis brenneri
Lineage: Eukaryota; Metazoa; Nematoda; Chromadorea; Rhabditida; Rhabditidae
Source: Rfam
UUAAGUAGUGGUGCCGCUCUUAUUAGAUGAGAUAGUAAUAAGAGUUGCUCACUACUUAUCA